CAGUAGCCGCGGGAAUACGUAGGUGGCAAGCGUUGUCCGGAAUUAUUGGGCGUAAAGGGCUCGCAGGCGGUUUCUUAAGUCUGAUGUGAAAGCCCCCGGCUCAACCGGGGAGGGUCAUUGGAAACUGGGAAACUUGAGUGCAGAAGAGGAGAGUGGAAUUCCACGUGUAGCGGUGAAAUGCGUAGAGAUGUGGAGGAACACCAGUGGCGAAGGCGACUCUCUGGUCUGUAACUGACGCUGAGGAGCGAAAGCGUGGGGAGCGAACAGGAUUAGAUACCCGUGUAGUCCCUGUCUCUUAUAA
This 301-nucleotide ribosomal RNA is filed under the name uncultured bacterium. RNAcentral's name for it is "partial 16S ribosomal RNA". It matches the Rfam family "Bacterial small subunit ribosomal RNA", at positions 509 to 809 of the family's 1533-position model. The record is from RNAcentral.